GACGAACUCUGGCGGCGUGCUUAACACAUGCAAGUCGAACGAUGAAGCUUGGUGCUUGCACUGGGUGGAUUAGUGGCGAACGGGUGAGUAACACGUGAGUAACCUGCCCUUUACUUCGGGAUAAGCUUGGGAAACUGGGUCUAAUACCGGAUAUUCUGCAUGGUCGGAUGGUUGUGUAGGAAAGAUUUUUUGGUAAGGGAUGGGCUCGCGGCCUAUCAGUUUGUUGGUGGGGUGAUGGCCUACCAAGACGACGACGGGUAGCCGGCCUGAGAGGGCGACCGGCCACACUGGGACUGAGACACGGCCCAGACUCCUACGGGAGGCAGCAGUGGGGAAUAUUGCACAAUGGGGGAAGCCCUGAUGCAGCGACGCCGCGUGGGGGAUGACGGCCUUCGGGUUGUAAACCUCUUUCAGUAGGGAAGAAGCGAAAGUGACGGUACCUGCAGAAGAAGUACCGGCUAACUACGUGCCAGCAGCCGCGGUAAUACGUAGGGUACUAGCGUUGUCCGGAAUUAUUGGGCGUAAGAGCUCGUAGGUGGUUUGUCGCGUCUGCUGUGGAAACGUGCCGCUUAACGGUGCGCGUGCAGUGGGUACGGGCGGACUAGAGUGCAGUAGGGGAGUCUGGAAUUCCUGGUGUAGCGGUGAAAUGCGCAGAUAUCAGGAGGAACACCGGUGGCGAAGGCGGGACUCUGGGCUGUUACUGACGCUGAGGAGCGAAAGCAUGGGGAGCGAACAGGAUUAGAUACCCUGGUAGUCCAUGCCGUAAACGUUGGGCACUAGGUGUGGGGUCCAUUCCACGGAUUCUGCGCCGUAGCUAACGCAUUAAGUGCCCCGCCUGGGGAGUACGGCCGCAAGGCUAAAACUCAAAGGAAUUGACGGGGGCCCGCACAAGCGGCGGAGCAUGCGGAUUAAUUCGAUGCAACGCGAAGAACCUUACCAAGGCUUGACAUGCACUAGACGAUUGCAGAGAUGUGGUUUUCUUUUUGACUGGUGUACAGGUGGUGCAUGGUUGUCGUCAGCUCGUGUCGUGAGAUGUUGGGUUAAGUCCCGCAACGAGCGCAACCCUCGUUCUAUGUUGCCAGCACGUGAUGGUGGGAACUCAUGGGAGACUGCCGGGGUCAACUCGGAGGAAGGUGGGGAUGACGUCAAAUCAUCAUGCCCUUUAUGUCUUGGGCUUCACGCAUGCUACAAUGGCCGGUACAGAGGGUGGCGAUACCGUGAGGUGGAGCGAAUCUCUUAAAGCCGGUCUCAGUUCGGAUCGUAGUCUGCAACUCGACUACGUGAAGUCGGAGUCGCUAGUAAUCGCAGAUCAGCAAUGCUGCGGUGAAUACGUUCCCGGGCCU
RNAcentral lists this ribosomal RNA (1343 nucleotides) under uncultured bacterium. RNAcentral describes it as "bacterial SSU rRNA". It matches the Rfam family "Bacterial small subunit ribosomal RNA", at positions 28 to 1381 of the family's 1533-position model. The record is from RNAcentral.